This 321-nucleotide ribosomal RNA is filed under the name Triticum aestivum (bread wheat). RNAcentral describes it as "partial small subunit ribosomal RNA". Lineage: Eukaryota; Viridiplantae; Streptophyta; Magnoliopsida; Poales; Poaceae. The record is from RNAcentral.
AUGCUGUUUUGGGGAGAUUACAGUUUCUUACCCUGUGAUGAAGAACUACACUAUUUUAGGCUAGAUGAGCUGCUAAUUCAGGCUAUCCAGAGUAAGGCACAGGCGCUGACUAUUGGUUGCCAGCUCGCCACUGCCUCGUGGAAGACUGCAACUGAGCUUUCUCCCUCUGGUCUGCUGAGAGUGAAGAGGAGGACAACGUGGGCGGAGCUAGUGGAUGGUUGGUUACUUGCUGACAAGGUUAAUACUAAUGUUCUUGCUCAUAUUUGGAUAGAAUUGGAAAACCCACAAUCUUGUACAUUGCCAAACAGCCCAACACUAUGA